This 718-nucleotide ribosomal RNA is filed under the name uncultured Bacilli bacterium. RNAcentral's name for it is "bacterial SSU rRNA". It matches the Rfam family "Bacterial small subunit ribosomal RNA", at positions 70 to 776 of the family's 1533-position model. Lineage: Bacteria; Bacillati; Bacillota; Bacilli. The record is from RNAcentral.
AAGGAGGAGCUUGCUUCUCUGGAUGAGUUGCGAACGGGUGAGUAACGCGUAGGUAACCUGCCUGGUAGCGGGGGAUAACUAUUGGAAACGAUAGCUAAUACCGCAUAACAGUAGAUGUUGCAUGACAUUUGCUUAAAAGGUGCAAUUGCAUCACUACCAGAUGGACCUGCGUUGUAUUAGCUAGUUGGUGGGGUAACGGCUCACCAAGGCGACGAUACAUAGCCGACCUGAGAGGGUGAUCGGCCACACUGGGACUGAGACACGGCCCAGACUCCUACGGGAGGCAGCAGUAGGGAAUCUUCGGCAAUGGACGGAAGUCUGACCGAGCAACGCCGCGUGAGUGAAGAAGGUUUUCGGAUCGUAAAGCUCUGUUGUAAGAGAAGAACGAGUGUGAGAGUGGAAAGUUCACACUGUGACGGUAUCUUACCAGAAAGGGACGGCUAACUACGUGCCAGCAGCCGCGGUAAUACGUAGGUCCCGAGCGUUGUCCGGAUUUAUUGGGCGUAAAGCGAGCGCAGGCGGUUAGAUAAGUCUGAAGUUAAAGGCUGUGGCUUAACCAUAGUACGCUUUGGAAACUGUUUAACUUGAGUGCAAGAGGGGAGAGUGGAAUUCCAUGUGUAGCGGUGAAAUGCGUAGAUAUAUGGAGGGACACCGGUGGCGAAAGCGGCUCUCUGGCUUGUAACUGACGCUGAGGCUCGAAGCGUGGGGAGCAAACAGG